Molecule: ribosomal RNA, 585 nt
Filed under: uncultured bacterium
Lineage: Bacteria
Description: bacterial SSU rRNA
Rfam family: Bacterial small subunit ribosomal RNA
Source: RNAcentral
CCUACGGGAGGCAGCAGUGGGGAAUUUUGGACAAUGGGCGCAAGCCUGAUCCAGCAAUGCCGCGUGAGUGAAGAAGGCCUUCGGGUUGUAAAGCUCUUUUGUCAGGGAAGAAACGGUGGGAGCUAAUAUCUCCUGCUAAUGACGGUACCUGAAGAAUAAGCACCGGCUAACUACGUGCCAGCAGCCGCGGUAAUACGUAGGGUGCAAGCGUUAAUCGGAAUUACUGGGCGUAAAGCGUGCGCAGGCGGUUUUGUAAGACUGUCGUGAAAUCCCCGGGCUCAACCUGGGAAUGGCGAUGGUGACUGCAAGGCUAGAGUUUGGCAGAGGGGGGUAGAAUUCCACGUGUAGCAGUGAAAUGCGUAGAUAUGUGGAGGAACACCGAUGGCGAAGGCAGCCCCCUGGGUCAAAACUGACGCUCAUGCACGAAAGCGUGGGGAGCAAACAGGAUUAGAUACCCUGGUAGUCCACGCCCUAAACGAUGUCUACUAGUUGUCGGGUCUUAAUUGACUUGGUAACGCAGCUAACGCGUGAAGUAGACCGCCUGGGGAGUACGGUCGCAAGAUUAAAACUCAAAUGAAUUGACGG